Myripristis murdjan (pinecone soldierfish) is the source of this 86-nucleotide long non-coding RNA. RefSeq lists it as uncharacterized. The record is from RefSeq and is a predicted model, not a curated record. The transcript has 3 exons. Lineage: Eukaryota; Metazoa; Chordata; Actinopteri; Holocentriformes; Holocentridae.
CUGGGCUGCUGAUCCAGAAUACGGUAUGUGUGUGUCUCCAUUCAUUUCCACAGCAAAACUGCUCCCAUAACAACAGCAGGUAAACC